Molecule: long non-coding RNA, 375 nt
Filed under: Citrus maxima (pomelo)
Lineage: Eukaryota; Viridiplantae; Streptophyta; Magnoliopsida; Sapindales; Rutaceae
Description: long non-coding RNA (CMAX_LNC002543)
Source: RNAcentral
CAUUUUUAAACAGUUUCAUUUUAGAAAUAAAAGUAAGUGAAAUCGAGUAAAGAAAGAAAGAAAGAUCAAUAUGUUUCUUAAUUGUUGGUGAUGACUGACGUCAAACAUUCAGUUUAACUUAAUUUCAGUCACAAAAUACGGGAAGUUAAUUUCAAAACAGAACCAGAAUAGCUGACUUUAAUGUUGGACAAAACCUCAGGGAAAUAAACUCCAUGAAAAUAUUCUUUAAGAAUAGUGUAGAUGAUGAUUUUCAAUCUUUUUAAAAGGGCUUUUGUUUCCUCUCAUCUUAAUGUUUUUUGUCCGUAUUGAUUCGAGCAGGAAGGAGUGAUAGUCUCAAGGGGCAGAGGAGCAUAAGAAUUAUGGGUACAAAUUUUG